Molecule: long non-coding RNA, 1655 nt
Organism: Cyprinus carpio carpio
Lineage: Eukaryota; Metazoa; Chordata; Actinopteri; Cypriniformes; Cyprinidae
Source: Ensembl
AAGUGUUUUACAAGCAUUUUGUUCUCUGUAACUGUUACUGUAGAUUUUUAGAAAUAUAUUUUAAUCUUAAAAGUGGACAUGAAAAGACACUGCAUCUCGUCUUAUAAGACAAUGCGAAAAGCUACAUGUGUGACAUGUACAUUCAAGUGCCUUUGUGACACUCCAGAUUUUAUUUAUAUUUUAUAUUUAAUCUUUAUUGAUACUUCAUCUCAUGUUUUGUAUGUUUAUACAUGUAAUAACUGUGUAUAAAGAAACUUGACAUCUUGUUAAAGGAUGCGUCAUUGUGCUUCUAUAAGCUUUUCUACAGGCUCCAUAUUUGAUGACAAACCGAAAAACAUGCUGUUAAACAAUAAAAAAAAAAAACACUCUUUGGACAUGACGAAAAAGCCACAGAAAGAAAAAAAAUGAGUACCAAACUAUAUUUAUUGUUUACAGUAGUAAAGGACAACAAAAAAAAAAAUGUACAUAUCAGUACAGAAGGAUGCCAACAUUUGGAAAUCUUUGAUGUCAAACGCUCUCUCCCCUUCAGCCAUAUGAAUUACAGUGGGAGGGCAAGAGAUGUUAAUAGAAAUCAGACCAGUCCUUGUUAGCGAUGACAGAUACAUCGCCUCAACAAUGCCUGAAAGGAUUCCCUUUCGUUUUGCUUCAAGACCUGGUCAUAGUUUUGGGAUUUAAAAAAAGGGCAAAAGUAAUGAAGAAGAAAAAGAUAUAUUGGUCUUUUAGAUCAUUCCUGUUUCCUCAACCAACACUCAAGAGGAAAACGAAAUGGUAAAUGGAUGUAUUUCUACAGACAUUUAAAAGUAUAAACACAGAACUAGUUGGUGUAAUCCUGCCCAUAUUUGCUAAUCGAGUACCAUCUUUGGGGUUUGGUCCAGAAAGGGUCACUGUAAAUUUUAUAAUGUAGUCAGUCUCUUCAUUUUAAAUUGAUCUCCACCAAGAUCCCGUCCCUACAGUGAGCUCGUACGAGAAGCGGCCCCAUUAAAAGGCAGAUGCAUACAACACUGGUUGAAAAUAUUUCUACAACACAUACAGGCAAAUAGAAUCUGAGUUGAAACAGGCCUACUUAAAGCUCUUAAGAACUAAAAAAGUGAAUGGGGAAAAAAAUUUUUUUUUGCUUCCUCACUAUUUAUUGGGCGGAUAUACUAUGGAGGGGGUGAACGGAUUCUGGGCUUUUGUUGAGUGAAUCUGCUCGGAGCAACAUAAAACCUUGCUUGGUGGCUGGUGUGGAUAUUCUGAACAACUACGCCAUCUGGCAGCCUUCUUGAGUUUGUUCCCACACCACAGUAGCUGUCUAACAAUUGCGCAUAUAAAUAUUACUGGAAACACAUUUGCAAUGCCCACUCUAGGAAAGCUAGAGAUGACAGAGGAGAGACAAAGAGAGAAAGAGAAGGGGAAACGAUGUGAAAGCAUCUGAAUGAAACAUCAUGAGCAAUAAAAUAGAUAAGUGUGGGGUCCAGGUGGUGUGAAGUUUUAGCAGGAGCCGCCAGUUUGCUGCUGAAAUACGUCAAUCGUGUCCUCGUCUUCCAUCUCCAACUAACAAAUGCAAAGUUACCAUAAGGUACAACAAAAAAUCCAUUAGUUACAGUAUUAUAAUCCAUUUUUCAUAUUAGUUAAUAAAAUGUUACAGUUUAUUGAUAGUUUGUGUUAACUUGGGA